This 2902-nucleotide ribosomal RNA is filed under the name Enterobacter kobei. RNAcentral's name for it is "23S ribosomal RNA". It matches the Rfam family "Bacterial large subunit ribosomal RNA". Lineage: Bacteria; Pseudomonadati; Pseudomonadota; Gammaproteobacteria; Enterobacterales; Enterobacteriaceae. The record is from RNAcentral.
UUAAGCGACUAAGCGUACACGGUGGAUGCCCUGGCAGUCAGAGGCGAUGAAGGACGUGCUAAUCUGCGAAAAGCGCCGGCGAGGUGAUAUGAACCUUUGACCCGGCGAUGUCCGAAUGGGGAAACCCAGUGUGUUCCGACACACUAUCGUUAACUGAAUACAUAGGUUAACGAGGCGAACCGGGGGAACUGAAACAUCUAAGUACCCCGAGGAAAAGAAAUCAACCGAGAUUCCCCCAGUAGCGGCGAGCGAACGGGGAGCAGCCCGGAGUCUUAAUCAGCUUGUGUGUUAGUGGAACGGUCUGGAAAGUCCGACGGUACAGGGUGAUAGUCCCGUACACGAAAAUGCACAGGCUGUGAACUCGAAGAGUAGGGCGGGACACGUGGUAUCCUGUCUGAAUAUGGGGGGACCAUCCUCCAAGGCUAAAUACUCCUGACUGACCGAUAGUGAACCAGUACCGUGAGGGAAAGGCGAAAAGAACCCCGGCGAGGGGAGUGAAAAAGAACCUGAAACCGUGUACGUACAAGCAGUGGGAGCCUACUUGUUAGGUGACUGCGUACCUUUUGUAUAAUGGGUCAGCGACUUAUAUUCUGUAGCAAGGUUAACCGUAUAGGGGAGCCGAAGGGAAACCGAGUCUUAACUGGGCGUUAAGUUGCAGGGUAUAGACCCGAAACCCGGUGAUCUAGCCAUGGGCAGGUUGAAGGUUGGGUAACACUAACUGGAGGACCGAACCGACUAAUGUUGAAAAAUUAGCGGAUGACCUGUGGCUGGGGGUGAAAGGCCAAUCAAACCGGGAGAUAGCUGGUUCUCCCCGAAAGCUAUUUAGGUAGCGCCUCGUGAACUCAUCUUCGGGGGUAGAGCACUGUUUCGGCUAGGGGGCCAUCCCGGCUUACCAACCCGAUGCAAACUACGAAUACCGAAGAAUGUUAUCACGGGAGACACACGGCGGGUGCUAACGUCCGUCGUGAAGAGGGAAACAACCCAGACCGCCAGCUAAGGUCCCAAAGUCAUGGUUAAGUGGGAAACGAUGUGGGAAGGCACAGACAGCCAGGAUGUUGGCUUAGAAGCAGCCAUCAUUUAAAGAAAGCGUAAUAGCUCACUGGUCGAGUCGGCCUGCGCGGAAGAUGUAACGGGGCUAAACCAUGCACCGAAGCUGCGGCAGCGACGCUUAUGCGUUGUUGGGUAGGGGAGCGUUCUGUAAGCCGUUGAAGGUGGCCUGUGAGGGUUGCUGGAGGUAUCAGAAGUGCGAAUGCUGACAUAAGUAACGAUAAAGCGGGUGAAAAGCCCGCUCGCCGGAAGACCAAGGGUUCCUGUCCAACGUUAAUCGGGGCAGGGUGAGUCGACCCCUAAGGCGAGGCCGAAAGGCGUAGUCGAUGGGAAACAGGUUAAUAUUCCUGUACUUGGUGUUACUGCGAAGGGGGGACGGAGAAGGCUAUGUUAGCCGGGCGACGGUUGUCCCGGUUUAAGCAUGUAGGCGGAGGUUCCAGGUAAAUCCGGUACCUUUUAACGCUGAGGUGUGAUGACGAGGCACUACGGUGCUGAAGUAACAAAUGCCCUGCUUCCAGGAAAAGCCUCUAAGCAUCAGGUAACACGAAAUCGUACCCCAAACCGACACAGGUGGUCAGGUAGAGAAUACCAAGGCGCUUGAGAGAACUCGGGUGAAGGAACUAGGCAAAAUGGUGCCGUAACUUCGGGAGAAGGCACGCUGAUAUGUAGGUGAAGCCCCUGCGGGUGGAGCUGAAAUCAGUCGAAGAUACCAGCUGGCUGCAACUGUUUAUUAAAAACACAGCACUGUGCAAACACGAAAGUGGACGUAUACGGUGUGACGCCUGCCCGGUGCCGGAAGGUUAAUUGAUGGGGUUAGCGGUAACGCGAAGCUCUUGAUCGAAGCCCCGGUAAACGGCGGCCGUAACUAUAACGGUCCUAAGGUAGCGAAAUUCCUUGUCGGGUAAGUUCCGACCUGCACGAAUGGCGUAAUGAUGGCCAGGCUGUCUCCACCCGAGACUCAGUGAAAUUGAACUCGCUGUGAAGAUGCAGUGUACCCGCGGCAAGACGGAAAGACCCCGUGAACCUUUACUAUAGCUUGACACUGAACACUGGUCCUUGAUGUGUAGGAUAGGUGGGAGGCUUUGAAGCGUGGACGCCAGUCUGCGUGGAGCCGCCCUUGAAAUACCACCCUUUAAUGGCUGGUGUUCUAACGUAGACCCGUAAUCCGGGUUGCGGACAGUGUCUGGUGGGUAGUUUGACUGGGGCGGUCUCCUCCCAAAGAGUAACGGAGGAGCACGAAGGUUAGCUAAUCCUGGUCGGACAUCAGGAGGUUAGUGCAAUGGCAUAAGCUAGCUUGACUGCGAGAGUGACGGCUCGAGCAGGUGCGAAAGCAGGUCAUAGUGAUCCGGUGGUUCUGAAUGGAAGGGCCAUCGCUCAACGGAUAAAAGGUACUCCGGGGAUAACAGGCUGAUACCGCCCAAGAGUUCAUAUCGACGGCGGUGUUUGGCACCUCGAUGUCGGCUCAUCACAUCCUGGGGCUGAAGUAGGUCCCAAGGGUAUGGCUGUUCGCCAUUUAAAGUGGUACGCGAGCUGGGUUUAGAACGUCGUGAGACAGUUCGGUCCCUAUCUGCCGUGGGCGCUGGAGAAUUGAGGGGGGCUGCUCCUAGUACGAGAGGACCGGAGUGGACGCAUCACUGGUGUUCGGGUUGUCAUGCCAAUGGCACUGCCCGGUAGCUAAAUGCGGAAGAGAUAAGUGCUGAAAGCAUCUAAGCACGAAACUUGCCCCGAGAUGAGUUCUCCCUGAGACUAUAAGUCUCCUGAAGGAACGUUGAAGACGACGACGUUGAUAGGUCGGGUGUGUAAGCGCAGCGAUGCGUUGAGCUAACCGAUACUAAUGAACCGUGAGGCUUAACCU